UGUAAGCGUAUACCAAAGUCGUUGCAGUUAAAGCGCUCGUAGUCGGAAUUUGGCAGUUCCGGAUGUGUGCACGUCGUGUGCGCACUUCGCGGGGAUUGCUUUUGUGGUCUUGCGUAGGAUGAGGCACUUUUAUUAGUGAACGUCCUCACGCAACCACUUUUUACUGUGAGAAAAUCAGAGUGCUCAAAGCAGGCAUUUGCCGUGAAUGUAUUAGCAUGGAAUAAUAGAAUAGGACUUGGUUCUAUUUUGUUGGUUUGUUGGGACUGAGUAAUGAUUAAGAGGGACAGUUGGGGGCAUUUGUAUUUCGGUGCUAGAGGUGAAAUUCUUAGAUUACCGAAAGACAAACUGCUGCGAAAGCGUCUGCCAAGGAUGUUUUCAUUGA
Molecule: ribosomal RNA, 382 nt
Filed under: uncultured eukaryote
Lineage: Eukaryota
Description: partial 18S ribosomal RNA
Rfam family: Eukaryotic small subunit ribosomal RNA
Source: RNAcentral